This is a long non-coding RNA of Rhododendron vialii, 2143 nucleotides long. RefSeq lists it as uncharacterized. The record is from RefSeq and is a predicted model, not a curated record. The transcript has 5 exons. Lineage: Eukaryota; Viridiplantae; Streptophyta; Magnoliopsida; Ericales; Ericaceae.
UCAAAAGACACUCCGGAGGAGGCAGGGAGGGAGAGAGUUAGGGAAGCCUUUCUUCUUAAAAAUGUUUGUGCAGCCGUUCAGGAACCUAUCUGUGUGACGACUUUUCGGUUAAAGGACACUCUUCUCUUUGACAUUAUGUCUGGUGCAAUGCACUGAGUGCCAUAGGCUUUCACAAAGGACCCAUAUUGCAAUGAAUUGUGAGUGCUGUAUGUGGCCGGACAAUUUUCGUCACAGAGAUUCCCAAGUUGAAGCUUUUUUGCAAGCUAUGUUUCACGGACUCGGGUACAUGUAUUGGGUGCAGGUUUUUUUUUCUUUAGUGUCUAAUUCUUCUAAUUCCCAUAUAUAAUGACACGCGGACAGACAAUCUUUAGAUUUUUUGUUAUAUUUUCUGCUCUAAAAUGCUGUUUUGAAGGUACUCUAGGACAUAUUGUAUCUAAGAGGGGUUUUGUAGAUACUUAUAUCAGUUACAUGGUAAACUGAAAUAACUAAAUAUGCUUGUUGGGUAGAUGUCCAACUGCACCUGUCCGAACAUAUGAAUGUGUCGAGCAUUCAAUCUGGGUACUUGUGCAUUUAGAAGGGUCCAUGUAACAUACUUGCAGGUAUUUUGUUCCUUCUUGACACCUCUUUUCAGCUCCUCCUAGGGCCUUUGUUGAGGAGAGGUUUUGUAGUUUGGUAGUUAGCUCACAGCAGUGUUCUUUGCUCCCCUUCCCCUAGGAGCUAGGAUAGAGUUCUCUCUUCCGUUCUUCUACAUGUUGAAGCUAGUAACAUGUUGACUGCAAACGGGUGGUUGGUAAGGACUGAGGACUAACCAAAUCAAACCGAGUCUUAUGUCUCAAUCACUUGGGGUCGCCUACAUGAAUCAUUUUCCUCGAUUGAGCUCUGUCAAGGACCACUUGUUCACACAAACCUACUAUGAUCAUGUCUUUGAGGACUAUCCUCAGAAACAAAGUGAGGCUUCCUGUGGUAAGGACUGAUUACUAUCCCCGGAAACUAAGUGGGGCUACCUGUAGAGCACUUAUCACUGCCCCAAAUAAGCUCACAAAGCCUUUGAUGCAACAACACUGUGUCAAGAAUCCUUUGUCUUCCUAUAUUUCUUGAAGGCCUGUCAUUUGUCCAAUCACGGAUAUCAUAUCUUUCUCCUUCUUUAUCCUUCCUCUUUGCACUUCUACCUGCACUGAAUCAUUCCUUCUCAGUGUCGCCGACAUCUGUUUUCAUGUUCUUGAUGGACCCAUCAGAAACAUUUUUUCUCCCUCGUCUUCUGUAGUUGAAGUCAUUAACUUUGCCUUUGAUCUAACUGUUUAAUGGGUUCAAUCUCUUUCCCAGUUUUUAGUCUCUGUUUAGUUACUGAUGUGAUACUUCGUAUGUAUUUUUUGAGGGAUUGUUGUUCAGAGAUAUUGUACCGUAUCAUUUGUUGUCAUUCCUAUGCAUCAGGUUGUCAUACAAUAAGACUUCAGUGGACUGUGCUGGGGCAUUAUUCUAUUCUAUGAUGAAAUUGGCAAUAGAAACUCCCCAUAGUUCAAUUAGUGAAUUGUUUGCAAAUGCUACAAGUGUAAUUGGCACAUGGAAAAGACUGCUAAAGUCUUACUUGCCCAGCCUAGAUGAGGAGAUUGAAGUGAUAUAUUGAAAUUUGAAGAAAUGUGCUUGGAAUCUGCUUAAGAAUUUUCUUCAUUAUUUGCAAAGGUUUUGCACCAUCUGUACGAUAUAGAAAUUUUACAAGAAGAAGCUAUUCUUAACUGGGCCGCUGAAAAAGAAGGGGCAGAUGAAUCUGAUAAAGUUUUUCUUAAGCAGUCGGAAAUAUUCAUCGAGUGGCUUAAUGAGGCAUCUGAGGAAGAAGAUUGACAAGAUGCAAAUGGGUAUCUUACUAAUAGAUGAGUUUUUGUCCGAGGCAUUGUCAAUUCAGUCUGUCGUCUCUUAUGGUGCUUAUGUUUGGCCGCCGGUUUUGUCCAUGUGUAGAAAGAAAUAGUGACCCGAGGAAAAACAACUUAAAAGUUCUUGGAAAUUAAUCUGAGAUCCAUUUUUUGUGUAUUCAUCUCUCUCUCUCUCUUUCACAUUGUUGUGAAUUAUGAUAUAAUCCUGUGGAAAGACGCUAAUGUUCAAAGAUUGAAUAGUAAAUUGAGAAUCUCAAAAGGAACUUUGCAAAGCA